This 13112-nucleotide long non-coding RNA is filed under the name Citrus sinensis (sweet orange). Its description in RNAcentral is "long non-coding RNA (CSIN_LNC000351)". Lineage: Eukaryota; Viridiplantae; Streptophyta; Magnoliopsida; Sapindales; Rutaceae. The record is from RNAcentral.
UGAGAAAUAAAUCUAACAUGAAUGUCUGCCCUUUUUGGGAAAGUUGCCUUGUCUUGAAACACUCGUUUUAAAGGGUAUGUCAAGUGUAAAAAGACUUGGUAAUGAAUUUUUGGGAAUAGCAGAAGACGACCAAGCUCGAGCUGAUCAAGCUGAGACAGCAUCAUCAAUUUUUAGGGACACCGCCUUUCCCAGUUUAGAAACACUCGAAUUCUUGAAUAUGGGAAAUUGGGAAGAGUGGGAUGAUUGCGAGAUUACCGGAGGAAAGACAAUUAUGCCACGUCUUCGUCACUUGUCGAUUAUUAGGUCCCCCGAAUUAAAGGCGCUGCCGGACUACAUUCUCGGAUCAACAUCACUAGAUAAGUUGCGAAUAAAUAGGUCUCAUCAUCUUAACAAUCGAUACAACAAUGAGACAGGACCAGACUGGCCAAAAAUUUCUCACAUUCCCAACAUUCGAUUUGAUGGUCCAGCUGUACAGGGAAGUUUGUAAAGAUCCUCGAAUCAAACAAUCUUCAGGUAAUUUCUAAACCAUAUCGUCUCCUUUAUUACUUAUAUAUGUACGUCUGUGAAUUAGUUGGUUCAAGAUUGGUCAGAAAUUAAUUUCUAUUAAUAAUAAGUUACAUAAUAUGUAAAUCAGUCUUGAAGUUUUUUUUUUUUAAUUUCUCUUUCCUUGCAAUCAUGCUUUAAAUGUAUCUGCCACAUUAUUUAUUUAUUAUGAUCUGUUUAACUAAAAGAAAAGGCCACUACGCAGAUUGUAUAUGUACAUCUAGCCAAACUAAAAGCAAACUUCAAAAAAGAAGCUGAAUGUGUUGUGCAAUUGAGGUUGGUUCGUGGUAACUUAUUAUUAAUAUAUAACUUAGUACUAAAUCACUGCAUAUGUAUGAGUAGUGUUUAAUUAUUAUGAAUUCUAAAUUAAUGUUGAUUGCAUUUUGCAGAAGCAGAAGGGGAUACUAAAUUACAUAUUUAGGUUCAACAUCAAUAUGUUCUUGUCUGGCUAAACUUAUACAUCCUGUGUCAAUAAAUUGAAUUGGCUGAUGACAUGUUUCGGGUUAGUUUUAGAUAUUCGUUAUAAAGCCCAUGUUUCUCAUAUGAUUUUGAUUAUUAAUUUAUGGGAAAUUCACACUCGUCCACUUGUUUAUUUUAAAAUAUUUUAUAAAAUAAAAUAAUUUUUUAAUUUAUUUAAGAAUAAAAUAAUUAUUUUAUUUAAAAUUUUAAUAUUAAAAUAGUUAAUUAAUACAAAUUUAAAAAUAAAAGCGAUUUAUAAAACAAAUCAAAAUUUCGUAGUGGUUCGAUGUAUGAAUAUGACAAAAUAAAGGUGGAGUGGGGAUAAUUUUCCUUUCGUGUAAAAAACAAGCGACGUCGUUUAGUGACAGCAGAACGACUAUUACUUGUACUGUGUAAAUAAUUCUUCUUCACCAAAACCGCCUGAAACCAGAGGAAAACAUAUUACAAUACCAACUACUUUUCUGUUUUCUCCUUUUUUUUUUUUCAAAAUAUCGAUCAAGCCCCUGACAAGACCCCUAGUUUAUGUAAGUUUGUUUUGUGAAUUUUUUGGGUUUGAGUUGACUUUUGAAAAAAUAGAAAGUUAAAUAAAAAUGAUGGGUUCGUGAUUUUGUUUGUUUGAUUAUCUAAAAGAACAAUAUUUUAUGUAUGUUUUUUUUUUGUUGCUACUAGUUGAAACAAGAAUUGAAGGUAUGGAAUUUAGUAGGUGAUGCUCUCUGGGCAUGUGAUGGAAGUUGAGGCUUUUGUUACUCUAGAUGGAAAUUUUUUCUAAUAGAUACCCAGUGGAAUGGGAAGGUUGCAAAUUUUGUAUUGGGUGCAAUAACUUUAACUUACCUUGAUCGAUGGGACCCUGUGAUUCCCAGUGAUCAUGAUAAUGUAUUUCUAGAAAACUUCAUUCAAUGUUAAAAUAUUUUGUGUAUUCUUGGUAUUAGUUGUUUCUGGUCUGAGUUUUGUCUUGAUAUUACUAAUGUACCAAAAGAUGUUAUCGCUAACGGAUGAUUUAAUAGCAGAUAAUAUGAUUGAUAUGAUGAUUCCAGGGGAGGAUCUAGUCUGAGUUUUGUCUUGAUAUUACUAACGUACCAAAAGAUGUUAUCGAUGUGUUAAUGAUGAACAAUGCAAGUUAUCAACCAUUAACGGAUGAUUUAAUAGCGGAUAAUAUGAUUGAUAUGAUGAUUUCAUGGGAGGAUUCAGUGCCUCUGCUUACGACUCUUGCUGUAAAAUAUCUCUCGAAUUAGCCUGCUGCUCUUGGGCAAUUGACGGUAUAUUCUAGUUAUUUUCCUCAGCAAAAUCUUCUAUGGGCUUGGGGCGUCACAGGUUAUUGUACAUAUAAUAAUUAGAGAUGGCAAAAUCCUCCAUAAAUUUAAGGCUUCAUGAGACUCUAUUUUAAAUGGGGUAAAUUUUGAAUAAUUUUUAGGAAAUUGAAGAAAAAUAAUUCUCAAAUUCUUAAUGGGAUAGAGUUUAAUUUUAUACUCCUCACUCCACCCCCAUCCCCAAAUCUACAGCAGAAAAUAAUUUUUUAAUUUAUUUAAGAAUAAAAUAAUUAUUUUAUUUAAAAUUUUAAUAUUAAAAUAGUUAAUUAAUACAAAUUUAAAAAUAAAAGCGAUUUAUAAAACAAAUCAAAAUUUCGUAGUGGUUCGAUGUAUGAAUAUGACAAAAUAAAGGUGGAGUGGGGAUAAUUUUCCUUUCGUGUAAAAAACAAGCGACGUCGUUUAGUGACAGCAGAACGACUAUUACUUGUACUGUGUAAAUAAUUCUUCUUCACCAAAACCGCCUGAAACCAGAGGAAAACAUAUUACAAUACCAACUACUUUUCUGUUUUCUCCUUUUUUUUUUUUCAAAAUAUCGAUCAAGCCCCUGACAAGACCCCUAGUUUAUGUAAGUUUGUUUUGUGAAUUUUUUGGGUUUGAGUUGACUUUUGAAAAAAUAGAAAGUUAAAUAAAAAUGAUGGGUUCGUGAUUUUGUUUGUUUGAUUAUCUAAAAGAACAAUAUUUUAUGUAUGUUUUUUUUUUGUUGCUACUAGUUGAAACAAGAAUUGAAGGUAUGGAAUUUAGUAGGUGAUGCUCUCUGGGCAUGUGAUGGAAGUUGAGGCUUUUGUUACUCUAGAUGGAAAUUUUUUCUAAUAGAUACCCAGUGGAAUGGGAAGGUUGCAAAUUUUGUAUUGGGUGCAAUAACUUUAACUUACCUUGAUCGAUGGGACCCUGUGAUUCCCAGUGAUCAUGAUAAUGUAUUUCUAGAAAACUUCAUUCAAUGUUAAAAUAUUUUGUGUAUUCUUGGUAUUAGUUGUUUCUGGUCUGAGUUUUGUCUUGAUAUUACUAAUGUACCAAAAGAUGUUAUCGCUAACGGAUGAUUUAAUAGCAGAUAAUAUGAUUGAUAUGAUGAUUCCAGGGGAGGAUCUAGUCUGAGUUUUGUCUUGAUAUUACUAACGUACCAAAAGAUGUUAUCGAUGUGUUAAUGAUGAACAAUGCAAGUUAUCAACCAUUAACGGAUGAUUUAAUAGCGGAUAAUAUGAUUGAUAUGAUGAUUUCAUGGGAGGAUUCAGUGCCUCUGCUUACGACUCUUGCUGUAAAAUAUCUCUCGAAUUAGCCUGCUGCUCUUGGGCAAUUGACGGUAUAUUCUAGUUAUUUUCCUCAGCAAAAUCUUCUAUGGGCUUGGGGCGUCACAGGUUAUUGUACAUAUAAUAAUUAGAGAUGGCAAAAUCCUCCAUAAAUUUAAGGCUUCAUGAGACUCUAUUUUAAAUGGGGUAAAUUUUGAAUAAUUUUUAGGAAAUUGAAGAAAAAUAAUUCUCAAAUUCUUAAUGGGAUAGAGUUUAAUUUUAUACUCCUCACUCCACCCCCAUCCCCAAAUCUAGGGGUGGGCAAAGUCGGUUUGGAUCGGUUUGAGACAUAUUCUCAAACCGAUCCAAACUUAUCGGUUUGAAAAAUUUUCAAACCGAUAUCAACUUAAAAAUUUUUCAAACCGAACCGAUCCAAACCGACUGGAUCGGUUUGGAUCGGUUUGGAUUCUCGGUUUGAGUUUUAUUAGCUAAAAGCUGAUUUUUUUAUUAUUUUAUCUAAAUUAUUUGUUAUUUUUUUUUGUCCGUAAUUCAAAUUGAUACCUUUUUUAUAUUAUUCCUAUCUACUUUGACAUCUACAUAACAAUUUAAAGAUACAUCCAUAUAAGUUUACAGCAUAAUACAUCCUAAUAAAUAAGUUCUUAACAUAUUCAUUCAAAACAAACUCACAAAAUAAAAAUAAAUUUGAACAACAUUUGACAAUUAAAAUAUUGUGCAUCUUGUCUGUCAAAACUUAUGGCCUAAUUAGUUUUGAUUUGUCAAAAUCUACAUAAAAUGAUAAAUAUAAUUAGUUAGAUUGUUUAACUUAAAAUAUAAUGUAAUUAUAUAAUAUUUUUGGAUUGGAUCGGUUUGAAAUCCUUCCAAACCGAAAUCCAAACCGAGUGAUGUCGGUUUGCAAUCCAAUAAACCGAAACCAGUUUUUUUACUAAUGAAACCGAUCCAAACCGAUCCAAAUUGUCGGUUUGGAUCGGUUCGGUUAAAAUAUGCCCACCCCUACCCAAAUCCCCAUUAUAUAUAAAUAUAUUUUUUUAUUUAAUAAUUUUUAUUUUAUCAAUUACACUAUUGCAGUGUUAGUUAAUAAUUUAUUUAUUUAUUUUUACUUGAUAUUAAUGGGCUAUAAGUAAAAGAAAACUUUACAAUAUAAUUUUUAUUCAACCUUAAAAUAUUGUUAUUUUUUUUCUUUCUUAGGAUGCUGCUUUUUUCAAAUGUUUUUCAAUUUUGAUAUCAUUUCCAGAUAGUGUUUAAAACGUUUGAAGAUUUUUUUAAAUUAUUUAAAUACUUUACAAUCUGGUAAUGAUUUUAUUUUAAUUUUUAAUUUUUUGAAAUCAUGUAUUUAUAUUUACUAUAAAAUAAAUAAAUGGGGAAUCAAAUAGGGACGGAAAAAUCAUUCCUCAAGUAGGGAUUCGUUAUCCUCACCCCCACUAAAUUUAUGAAGAAGUGAGGUGGGGAAUCGAGAUAAAUUUUUUAAUGGAGUGAGGAAUGCGGUAGGCCUCUCCACCUCCGACCUACCCCACUCUAUUGUGAUCCCUAACGGCAAUUGUAGUAUUCAUAUUUUUUAUUUGGACCCAACAAUUAAUAAUUAUCAUUACUAUUACUAUUAUUAUUAUUAUCACUCUUUGAUCAAAAUCUCCCAUAAUUAAUUCUAAUUACGAUCUCCUCCUUUUCUUUUCCCUUUUUUUAACCUUUUUAACAUUAAAAUAUUAUUUUAAAACAAUUUGUAAUAAGAUAACCAUUGGUGCAACUUUCUACUUUCUAACUUUCUUUUUCAUUAAAAAAAAUAUAUAGUCUUUUGUUGAUUAUGAUGAUAGGUAAAAUACCAUAAAUACGAAUUGAUUUCGAAAUUCAUACAUUUUAACUUUGAUCAGAGAGAAACGUAAUAUAUAAUACAUGUUUUAAAGAUAUAUAUGUUGAGGUCGACUUAUAUAAGGGAAAGAUGGGGAUUUAAUUGAAAUUAUAUCUAUUUAAUUUUACAUAAAUUUUACAUUUUGGCCCUUCAAAUUUACAAGUUUCAUGUUUUGUCUUCCUCAAGUUUAUGAUAGCCCCAACUAUUAAACCACAAGAUUAAUCAUGAUUGUCCAUUGAUCUACGAAAAGUGAUAUUAGUGAUUCAUUAUUAGGGUAAAAUAGGGAAAAAAUUAUAAAAGGCGAGUGAAGACAAGUUUUAAUGUAGAUUAUUCGAAUGUGGAAUUCAAUUAAAAUUAACAAGCAAUUCACAAUUUUGAUAAUGAUGGAUAGAAAAAAAUUUGGAGUCGCAUUAUUUUGAAGGAGGUCCACAAUCUUUUUGCCAGUGAAGCUUCAUCCAUAAAUGGUCCAAUGAUGAAAGUAUUCUUGCGGAAUGCGUAAUAUGCACAUCAAAUAAUUAUAAAAAAAUAAAAGUGUGGUUCAAUAAUUGUGCUUACCUCCACAUGAUUAAGAAAAAAUGAUCAUAUUAUUAAUAUUUAUUUAAAUACAAUAUUUAAAUAAAAAAAUCUCACAUCUUAAAAUUUAAAUACAUUCAAUAUAUUUUUACACACUUAAAAAAAAACUUCUCAAUUAUUCUCUGUUUCCACUUGCGUACUCCACUUACGUACUCACUAAACAAUUCUUCACUUAAAUUAUUUUCUCAAUUUUGGAAUGAUGUGAUCGAAGGAAUGCAUUGGUAUUAUGGACCUCUCUAAGUUAUGGUUACCGUUACUUUACUAUAACUUACAGUCCGUGAUAUGACUACCUAACCAAUAAAUAAAUGCUAGGUGAGCAUGACAAUAAUUAAAUGGAAUUUGUUUAACCGGUUAGCAGCCAGUUACUAAAAAACUUAACACAAGAGACUCCCAUUUAUAAUCGGUUGUGAGAAACGUAACAACGCCGUUUUAACCAUCAAAUUGAGAACACAAAAGGAGUUUCUUCUUGAGACAACCUCCACCACCGAAUUCCAACAACACAUAUUUCAAACCCAUUUCGGCAGCUUAUGAGUAUGAAGAAUAGAUCGCCAGAAGCGUGAGUUAGCCGUUGAACCGCACUUUAAACCCAAUUCAUCACAAAACUUAAUGAAAACUACUGUCACAAUUAGCAACGCUAAUAAUGGCAGAUUUUGGAAACUUCUCAAACACAGACGAGGAGUCAGCAGUGGAAGAUAUAAUCACUCAAACGAAAGAGCUUUUAGUUCUCGAGCUAGCCAAAACCCACAUCAAUGAUAAUCAUCAUCAUCACAUUGAAAAACACACACAAUUUCUUCAUCAUCAUCAUCAUUCAAAUCCAACUUCAAAGUCGGAGUUUUUAUUCGAUUCCAAACAAAACCCAGAUGGGAAACCCAGCUUGGAGACUGCAAAAUCAGUUUCUAGUUGUGAUUUUUCACAUAAAUGUCUACAUUUUAGGUUAAUUUUAUGAUUGUUUGUUGGUUCUCAUGGUUUUUGUUUUUGAAACUGAUCGCUUAGCUAACCCGACUUUCAUCUGACGGAUCUCGGCGUUUCUUUUCAGUGUCUUGUCUCAAUUGCUUACUUUUAACCAUUUUCUCUUUUGAGGCUUUUGGUUUUCUUUCUAUUUUUCUUUUAAUGGUUGAAAUUUAUUUUUGGAAUAUCUCCAGAUAUGGAGAACUAACAAUGUGAUCCAUGUGGGCAUGGGAUAUAAAGAGGAAAUUUAAAAAGAUAGCUCGAGAAGGGCAUCGUCCAAUAUCGAUGCUAAACAAGAGAGGGGAAAAUAAUGCAAGUCUCGUGGCCUGCUAUGGACAAUCCUUCUACUUUGCACCCUUGUACUUGCGUCCCCUUCCCACUCUUCUCCUUUUCUUUGGCCUUCGUGGCCAUUCUGUAAUUCAACAACAGUGCAACAAUCAAUCAUCAAUAGGUAUAUGCUAAUCUCGUUUCAAAAUCGGAAUUAAAACUUUGGGCUGAUAUAUUUCAUUUCCAGUCAAGUUCGAUUUCAUUUAUCUAGAAUCCUAGAUCAUUCCCUCUUCAUUUUGAACAUUUUUUGUUUGACAACCAUCUUCAAACCGUUUCAUCUAGUAGUUCAUCACUUCAAUUAACCAAUUCAGCCGAUUUGCCAUUUAUUACUAUUUUUGCAUAAAUUUGACAAUAUCCGUUGGAUUCAAACUAAAGAUAUCUAACGGUUUAAGAUAAGUUGGGUAGUACGUUACAUUAAACGUAACUCAGAGAUUGCCUGAUAUUUAUUAUGGAGCUUUUCUUUUCAUUCGGUUUUAAUAAUGGAAAAAGCUAUUUCCCCCGAUUUUAAACCCCAAAUUGAAACGCACCGUUUUAGCAAAUAGAAAACACACCGUUUAACCUUUGCUUUUGACGAUCUCUCUCUGCAAAAUCUAUCUCUCAGUCUCUCACACACCCGCAUAAUCUCUCUCAUUUAACCUCGUUUAACCUUUGUUUUUGAUGAUUUCUUUAACAAAAGAAUCGACAAUCCUUGCCAGCCAAAAUAUUUGAUUACGUGAUCAUUUCUUAUUGGUGGUCCCUCAAAGUUGUUUCCCAGACUUGGAUCAUUAAUUCGUUAUUAUAAUUCAAAGUUGAAUUUUUUUUAAAAAAAAGAAGAAUCGUUAAGAAUUUAAGAAAUUAAAAAAGGGAUGGCAAAUUGAUAACUCGGGAGCAUUCCGCAGACAAGUUCUGUGAAAAAUUGGUACGUUCUUAACGAACUUAUAUGUUGUAGAAAUUGGCAAUUAUUAUAUAUUAUUAAUCAUGAGUUAAUUUCGUUAACGAAAUUCGGAAGUUUGAAUUUAUGUAAAAUUAUUUGUGGAAAAAAAAAUUGGUUGGAGUCGGCGGCAGUGGUAGUGGAGAUGGGGAUGGAAGCAGGCGGCGUUUACCGUCAUGGAUGGCGGGGGUAAACGUAAAUAAAUCUGACAGCGAAGGACUGGAUCGUAAUUCCAAUUCCAAGGAGCCUGCAGAUAUUAUUGAAUAGUUGAGUGUUGGGUUGCAUCGAAGAGGAACACGUGCUUUGGUCUCCUCAAACACGUGCAAUUAAAAAGGACGAGAAAUACGUACAUAGAGACAGCUCCGAUCUUCUCAAACACGUGAAAUAAAAAACACAAAAGUGACCGUUUUAAAACGCACUGUUUUGGCAAAUUCAGAGUUAACUCUCGGGGGAUAUAGCAGCGCUCUAUAAUAAUUGCAAGCCUACGUUCAAUGUAGGCCACAAGCUUCUCUUUUCACAUGCCAUUGUCUGCCACAAGCUCAAAGUGUAGGGUACAGUUACGUUGUUUCUCGGGUUUAGUGCCCCAUGUCUUGUCUUUUUCAAAUUGAUGUAACGUAUAAUGGUUAUAUGUGAUUUUAGGUUAUUAACAUUAAAAGGUUGAUGUAAAAUAAAAAAAAAUUAAAAAUUUUAAAAUUAUGACAUAAAAAUUCAUAAUUUUUUUAAUUAUUAAAUUAAAAAUUCCAUAAUCUUUUUUAUUUCAAUACAAGAGAUUUUAUUAUCUCAAGUAAAUGUAAUGUGCAAAAUUAAAAAAUAAAUUUAAUUUGAUAUUCUACGUAGUUAAUGUUGUUUUUGGUAACAUAAGAUGUAUUUAACAUACUAUCAAUUAUUUUAUUAUGUAGUAAAAAUAUGUUAAUUUACUAAUAAUAAAAAAGUGUUAGUUUAUAAAUUUGUAAAAUAAUUUUUGUUUGUUUGAGUAAUGAUUUUGUAUUUUUAGUUGAAUUUUGAACAAUAAGUUUGUCUUUUUAAUUGAGUUUUUGUCCUUAAAAUAAAAAAAUAAAUUUAAUUACACACUUAAAUAAAUUAAUAUUUGUUAUUCCACCCCAAUAGUUUAAAUAGCCAUUAGUACACAUCCAUACUAUUGAGAUAUUUCAUUAAUUUAAUUAAGAGAAGGGUAAAUUUUUUUUAAAUAAUUACUCUAUUUUAAAUAUUUAUGUAAUUAUCUUUUAAUUAAAAUAAAUUUAGCCAAAUUUAUGUACUAGCUAAAUUUAGCCACAUGCAUGCACAUGCUCAACAAGUACGGAUUAAUAUAUCUACAAAAUAUUAAACAGCUGAUUCUUGUCGGCCACUAACUAAAUUUAGCCACAUGCAUGCACAUGCUCAACAAGUACUGAUCAUAUUAUCUACGAAAUAGGAACAGCUCAUUAUUGAAGUAUUGUGACUUGCAAUAUUUGGUUCAUGCAUUCUACUUUUUGGGUAUUUCUUAAUUUUAAACAAAUCAUAAUAUAUAAUGAUGGUUUUAAACAAAUCAUAAUAUAGCCACAUUCAUCUUUCUGAAAUCAUGAUCUCGUGAGAUUUUGGAGGUUUUAGUAUUUGAUUUUGUAAGCACUUACGCAAGAAGUAGUGUCUGGUUAAUUUAAUUCUACACUUUAAAUUAAUAAUAGUUCUUGCAUUAAUUACUGAUUAACCAUAUGAUUUUUUUUUUUUUUUUGUUGCAAUGAGAUAAUCACUUUCUAGAAGAAGAGAAGAGACUUUGUCAUUAUAAUUUUGUUCUAUAUGAUUUGGUGAUUACUUUUCCAGUAUCCACUAAUUAUAAAUAGGAAAAAUAAUCAAAACAGUCGAUUUCAAUGGACUUGGAAAAAUUUGAAAGACAUGACAAAAGAGGGGAAAAAGAAUUAAUAUAAAUUCAUACUGAUCCAAAACUUGGUUUUAUCAAAAGAUUAAAUGCUAAUAUACUGCCAUUUUGCAAUAUCAAAAAAUUACGUGUAUAUUAUAACAGUGUAGAAGAUAAGCUGACAAACAUUACUGUCCUGUCUAUAAAUAGCCAAAUGGAAGUUCAUGUGCAGAAUUAUCACAGCCAAAGCAAACCAAAACAAAGACUUGAAACUACCUACUUGCUUAGAUCAAAUUCAAUAACCAUCUUUGACCAUGGCUGAAGCUAUUGUCUCCACAAUCUUGGAGCAACUGGCUUUAAUCCUUGUUGAACAAACAGCUGCAGGGGUCAGACUAAUUGCUGGUGCCGAGGAGGAAGUCGAAAAUCUCCACCGCCGUUUCCAUUUGAUUAAAGCUGUUGUUGAAGAUGCAGAAAAAAGACAAAUGAAGGAGAAUUCAGUGAGAGUUUGGUUGGAUGAUCUUAAGCACGCAUCCUACGACAUGGAAGAUGUGUUGGAUGAGUGGAACACUGCUAUCCGGAAGCUGCAAAUGAAGAGAUCAUCUGGAGAUGCAAAUGUUUCUCAGCCUAUGAGAACGGUACGUCCUUCCUUCAUCAUCCCUUCUUACUGGUUUUCUCCUGGGCAACUAGUCCAGCGGCAUAACAUUGCUACCAAGAUAAAGAAUGUAGAUAAGAAGCUAGACAAUAUUGUUAGGGAUAUAAAUGCCUACGGGUUUAUUAUCUCGAGGGAGCAGGGAUCCGGGAAGGUAGCAUCUCGACCAAGCACUACCUCUUUUCUUGAUGAAUCUUAUGAGAUACGUGGAAGAAACCACCUCCAGAAUAAGGUAGCAAGCUUGUUAAUGAGUGGGAGUGAGAGCAGUACUGCUAGUGCUGCUAGUUCUAGUCAAGUGCCUACCCAGCGCCCUACAAUAAUUUCAAUUACAGGUAUGGGUGGAAUCGGAAAGACCACUCUUGCUAAACUAAUUUUCAAUGAUAAUGAAGUGAGGAACCAUUUCAAUGAAAAGAUAUGGGUUUGUGUCUCUGAGCCUUUUGACGAUAUUAGAAUUGCAAAGGCAAUUCUUGAGUCUUUAAAAGGUUCUGCCACUAAUGCGGUUGAAUCAGAAACUGUGUUAAAGCAACUACGCGAAUCUAUUGAGGGCAAGAAAUUUUUUCUUGUCCUUGAUGAUGUGUGGACUGAAGAACCACAAAAUUGGGAGCAAUUAUUGGGUUGUCUUAGAUGUGGUUCUAAAGAAAGUAGAAUUUUAGUAACCACACGUAAUGAAAAGGUUGCUAUUGCCAUCGGAACCACCAAGUUCAACAUAAUUCCAAUAGAAUUAUUAUCUGAUGAGGAUUGUUGGUCAAUUUUUAGUCAACUUGCACUUUCUAGAAGGUUAGAUAUUGAAGAGAGUGAAAAUUUUGAAAAUAUUGGUAGACAAAUUGUAAGUAAGUGCAAAGGCUUGCCUCUUGCAGUCAAGACUUUAGGGAGUCUCUUGCGUUUUAAAGGAAAAAUUGAAGAAUGGCAAAGAGUCUUGGAGAAUGAAUUGUGGGAAUUAGAAGAGCUAGAUGAAGGGCUUUUAGGGCCCUUGUUGUUAAGCUAUCUCGAUUUGCCUCCUCCAUUGAAAAAAUGCUUUUCGUAUUGUGCUAUUUUUCCAAAAGACUCGAGGUUAGAAAAAGAUAAGUUGAUCAGAUUGUGGAUGGCUCAAGAUUAUCUUAAAGUAAAAGGAAGAGAAGAUAUGGUAGUUGGUGAAGGAUAUUUUGAGAACUUAGCUAUGCGUUCGUUAUUUCAAGAUUUUGAGAGAAGUGAACAUGAUGGUGGCAAGAUAAUAAGUUGCCAGAUGCACGAUAUGGUGCAUGAUUUCAGUCAGUUUCUCACAAAAACUGAAUGUAGUGCUCUAGAUGUUAAUAAGUCCCGAUUACAACUUCCUUGUUGGAAAGCUCGACAUUUAAUGAUUACAGGGGAAACGAGGUCUGAAAUGGUGCCGUUUCCUUCCAUGGUUUAUGAUGAAACAAAAUUACGUAGUCUUGUGCUUGAUCAACGGUUAAGUUUUAAGCCGAGAAUAGCUCUUUCAAAAUUAUUUGAUCGGCUGACUUGUCUGAGGUCGAUCGAUGGUCUACCAGUUGGACAAAUUCCAAAAGGAAUAAAAAAGUUGAUACAUUUGAGGUAUCUUGCUUUGGGUGAGAAUCCAUGGAUAAAAGAAUUGCCAGAGGCAUUGUGUGAAUUAUGCAAUUUACAAACCUUAGAUGUGAGUCUUUGUCACUAUCUAAAAAGAUUACCUGAAAGAAUCGGACAGUUAAUCAACUUGAGGCAUUUAAUGAACUCUAAAGAGGAAUGGAGUAGAUUAAGUUACAUGCCCAGGGGAAUGGAGAGAUUGACUGGUCUUCGAACGUUAGGGGCAUUCGUGGCAAGUGGAGGCAAGAGCAGCAAAGCAUGUAGUAGUCUUAAAAGCCUGAACAAGUUGAAACACCUUGAGGGGUCUCUUACAUUAAGAGGGUUGGGAAAUGAGAGAGAUCUUGGUGAUGAUAAUGAUGAUGAGAAAGUAGAUCUCAAGAGCAAAAUGAAAUUGGUUGAUCUGCAUUUACGGUUUGAUUCUACGACGAAAACAAAGGAUCAUCGAGUAGUUCUUGAAUGCUUGCAGCCGCCUUCAAGUUUAGAGAAAUUAGGAAUUUAUGGAUAUGCAGGUGACACCAUAUCCCCGACCUCGGAUUGGAUGCUCUCAUUAGCCAAGCUGAGGGUGCUGACUCUACGUUUUUGCAACAAGUGUGAAUGUCUGCCUCCUUUGGGAAAGUUGCCUUGUCUUGAAACACUCGUUUUAGAGGGUAUGUCAAGUAUAAAAAGACUUGAUAAUGAAUUUUUGGGAAUAGCAGAAGACCACCAAGCUCGAGCUGAUCAAGCUGAGACAGCAUCAUCAAUUAUUAGGGACACCGCCUUUCCCAGGUUAGAAACACUCGAAUUCUUGGAUAUGGAAAAAUGGGAAGAGUGGGAUGAUUGCGAGAUUGCCGGAGGAAAAACAAUUAUGCCACGUCUUCGUCACUUGUCGAUUUGUUGGUCCCCCGAAUUAAAGGCACUGCCAGACUACAUUCUCGGGUCAACAUC